GUAGUGGCUCAGUGGUAGAGCACUUGCCUAGCAUGUGUGAGGCACUGGGUUCAACUCUCAGCACUACA
Molecule: transfer RNA, 68 nt
Filed under: Urocitellus parryii (Arctic ground squirrel)
Lineage: Eukaryota; Metazoa; Chordata; Mammalia; Rodentia; Sciuridae
Also listed under: 1 other name
Description: Spermophilus parryii (Arctic ground squirrel) tRNA
Rfam family: tRNA
About the family: Transfer RNA (tRNA) molecules are approximately 80 nucleotides in length. Their secondary structure includes four short double-helical elements and three loops (D, anti-codon, and T loops).
Source: Rfam by way of RNAcentral